CCUACGGGUGGCAGCAGUGAGGAAUAUUGGUCAAUGGGCGCAAGCCUGAACCAGCCAAGUAGCGUGAGGGAUGACUGCCCUACGGGUUGUAAACUUCUUUUAUAAAGGAGUAAAGUGAGGCACGUUUGCCUUUUUGUAUGUACUUUAUGAGUACGGAUCGGCUAACUCCGUGCCAGCAGCCGCGGUAAUACGGGGGAUCCGGGCGUUAUCCGGAUUUAUUGGGUUUAAAGGGAGCGUAGAUGGGUUGUUAAGUCAGUUGUGAAAGGUUGCGGCUCAACCGUAAAAUUGCAAUUGAUACUGGCAGCCUGGAGUACAGUGGAGGUAGGCGGAAUUCGUGGUGUAGCGGUGAAAUGCGUAGAUAUCACGAAGAACUCCGAUUGCGAAGGCAGCUUACUAAACUGUAACUGACAUUGAUGCUCGAAAGUGUGGGUAUCAAACAGGAUUAGAUACCCCUGUAGUC
RNAcentral lists this ribosomal RNA (460 nucleotides) under uncultured bacterium. RNAcentral describes it as "partial 16S ribosomal RNA". It matches the Rfam family "Bacterial small subunit ribosomal RNA", at positions 338 to 795 of the family's 1533-position model. The record is from RNAcentral.